CAGUCGCCGCGGUAAAACGGAGGGUGCAAGCGUUAUCCGGAUUUAUUGGGUUUAAAGGGUCCGUAGGCGGAUCUGUAAGUCAGUGGUGAAAUCUCACAGCUAAACUGUGAAACUGCCAUUGAUACUGCAGGUCUUGAGUAAAUUUGAAGUGGCUGGAAUAAGUAGUGUAGCGGUGAAAUGCAUAGAUAUUACUUAGAACACCAAUUGCGAAGGCAGGUCACUAAGAUUUAACUGACGCUGAUGGACGAAAGCGUGGGGAGCGAACAGGAUUAGAUACCCCGGUAGUCCCUGUCUCUUAUAC
This 301-nucleotide ribosomal RNA is filed under the name uncultured bacterium. Its description in RNAcentral is "partial 16S ribosomal RNA". It matches the Rfam family "Bacterial small subunit ribosomal RNA", at positions 509 to 807 of the family's 1533-position model. The record is from RNAcentral.